CUCGAGGUGGAGGAGGGGGCUGGCGGGAAGGAGGAGAAGGCGGCGGUGUCCUGCUCGAUCUGCCUCGACGCGGUCGUUGCCGCCAGCGCGGAGAGGUCCACGGCGAGGCUGCAGUGCGGCCACGAGUUCCACCUCGGUAAGGGGCUAUUGCCCGAUCUGUUGAUGCGUUAUUGCACUGAAUUAUGCGACGCUAUUUUUGGGAUUAUGACUGGGCCGGCGAUUCUGGUGUGA
This 231-nucleotide ribosomal RNA is filed under the name Triticum aestivum (bread wheat). RNAcentral describes it as "partial small subunit ribosomal RNA". The record is from RNAcentral. Lineage: Eukaryota; Viridiplantae; Streptophyta; Magnoliopsida; Poales; Poaceae.